RNAcentral lists this long non-coding RNA (2305 nucleotides) under Marmota monax (woodchuck). The record is from RNAcentral. Lineage: Eukaryota; Metazoa; Chordata; Mammalia; Rodentia; Sciuridae.
ACAUCCCCAGGCUUGUUUAUUUUUUAUUUUGAGGUAGGGUCUAGCUAAGUUACUUACGGAGUUGCCAUAUUGCUGAGGCUGGCUUUGAACUUGUUAUUCUCCUGCCUCAGCCUCCCAAGUUGCUGGGGUUGCAGGCCAUGUGUGCUAUGGCCCUAGCUGGGACCUUGGUGUUUUGUGUUUUUUUUUUUUGCUAGUAGAAAAAAAUUAUCCUAAUAACUAAUUUUAUCUAGUCAAUCGCACAUUUCUUGUCUCUCAUCACCUUUUUUUGUUGUUACUUUUUUGUUAUUAGUUGACACAUAAUGAUUGUAUGUCCCUGUAAAAACUUAACACAUUAACUAGGUCAGAGUAAGCCCUCCAAAAUUGGUUAUAUACUAAACUCAGAGCCUGGUAUUAAUUUUAUCUUCUCUUAUUAGCCAUAAGAAAUGCUGUAUUCUAUGGGUUUGUUUGUGGUUUUGUUUUGUUUUGUUUUGGUGUUGGGGAUUAAACCCAGGGCUUUGUGCAUGCAAGGCAAACACUCUGCCAACUGUUUUUGCUAUAUCCCCAGCCUAGAGAAAUGAUGUAUCCUGUUAAGUCAGUUUUCCAAACCAGUUCUCAUAAGCCUGUUUUUCCUAUGAUGCACAUAGGUAAUGUUCACAUUCUUCAUAAUCCUGACAGUAUACCCAGGGUUCUGUCUGUUGGAACCUAAAAACUCCUUUCUCUUCCAUAAGAAAGCUUUAUGAGAGCCUGGGAUGGUGGCCCAUGCCUAUAAUCCCAGCAGGUUGGGACUCUGAAGCAGGAGGAUCACAAGUUUGAGACCAGUCUCAGCAACUUAGCAAGACCCUGUCUGAAAAUAAAAAAUAAUGAACAAGAAGGACUGUGAAUGUAGCUCGGUGGUAAAGCACUCCUGGGUUCAAUCCCCAGUACCAAAAAAAAAAAAAGAAAGAAAGAAAGUUUAUGAGAAGGGUAAGUAAUAGUAUUCUUAUAGGAAACUUCAAUUCUUAAUUUACUAAAUAAAUUAUUCAUAAGUUUGAAUAAAAUAAAUUUAAUGUUAAUCAAUACAUAUUACUUGUGAUAUUCCUUACUUGUUUGUCAAGGCACACCUUAACUCUCCAAGCCACCAUGCAGUGGCACAUGCCUGCAAUCUCAACAAGGAGGAAAACUGCAAGUUCAAGGCUAGCCUCAGCAAUUUAGCAAUACCCUGUCUUAAAGUAACAAAUAAGAAGGACAGGGGAUGUAGCUCAGUGGUAGGGCAUCCCUGUUUUUAAUCUCCAGAAUAACAACAACAAAACCUCUCUAGUCUGAGAGUCUGCCAUUGUUACACCGGGAUAUAUCUUACAUGGGAAAGGGUGGAAGUUAUUCUCUUACUUCCAUCCUCACAAUGUUAAAAUAUACAUUAUACAUCUUUUAAUUCAUACCACAAGGAAUCUAUGAAUUCAUCUGAACCCUCCUGAAAGCAUACUAUAAUAAAUUACCCAGUAUUUGGUAGAGCACAUAUUCUAAUCUUGCAAAUUUAAUUGUACUUUAAGCUUUAGAUGCCUUCUAAAUUAGUUUAUCAGUAAAAUGUUAGAACUUAAGUAAUUUCCAAAGACUAUUAAAUAAGGUCCAAAUAUAACCAGAAGUUUAUUAAGUGAAAAUCUGGCCCUUUAGCCAGAUGCAGUGUUGCAUGACUGUAGUUCCAGUUACUCCAGAGACUGAGGCAGGAAGAUCACUUAAACUACAAGUUGGAGACCAGCCUAAGCAGCAUAAUGAAACUGUCCCAAAAACAAAAAAUCCUCUUUUAAAGUUUUUUGUUUUUUUGGCAGGGGGUAUGGAGAUUGAACUUAGGGGCACUUGACCACUGAGCCACAUCCCCAUUUCUAUUUUGUAUUUUCAUUCAGAGACAGGGUCUUUGAGAGAGAGAGAGAGAGAAUUUUUUAAUAUUUAUUUUUUAGUUUUCGGUGGACACAACAUCUUUAUUUUAUUUUUAUGUGGUGCUGAGGAUGGAACCCAGCGCCCCGUGCAUGCCAGGCGAGCUACCGCUUGAGCCACAUCCCCAGACCCCAGAGACAGGGUCUUAAUGAGUUACUUAGUGCCUUGCUUUUUGUUGAGGCUGGCUUUGAAGUCAUGAGCCUCCUGUCUCUGCCUUCCAAGCUGCUGGGAUUAUAGGGGUCUGCCAACACACAGGCUCUUAUAGAGGUUAUUUUGCAGUUAGAAAGGAUUCAUUCGCAGGGGUGGGUGGUUGUGGCGCAAUGGUAAAGCACUUGCUUAGUAUCUGUGAGGCCAUGGAUUUGAUGCCAGCACUGCAAAAAAAGGGGAUAAAAAUAGAUUUAAGCCAGAUAGGUGGCAC